Molecule: ribosomal RNA, 497 nt
Filed under: uncultured bacterium
Lineage: Bacteria
Description: partial 16S ribosomal RNA
Rfam family: Bacterial small subunit ribosomal RNA
Source: RNAcentral
GAUGAACGCUGGCGGCGUGCCUAAUACAUGCAAGUCGAGCGAACGGACGAGAAGCUUGCUUUUCUGAUGUUAGCGGCGGACGGGUGAGUAACACGUGGAUAACCUACCUAUAAGACUGGGAUAACUUCGGGAAACCGGAGCUAAUACCGGAUAAUAUUUUGAACCGCAUGGUUCAAAAGUGAAAGACGGUCUUGCUGUCACUUAUAGAUGGAUCCGCGCUGCAUUAGCUAGUUGGUAAGGUAACGGCUUACCAAGGCAACGAUGCAUAGCCGACCUGAGAGGGUGAUCGGCCACACUGGAACUGAGACACGGUCCAGACUCCUACGGGAGGCAGCAGUAGGGAAUCUUCCGCAAUGGGCGAAAGCCUGACGGGGCAACGCCGCGUGAGUGAUGAAGGUCUUCGGAUCGUAAAACUCUGUUAUUAGGGAAGAACAUAUGUGUAAGUAACUGUGCACAUCUUGACGGUACCUAAUCAGAAAGCCACGGCUAACUACAUG